Molecule: ribosomal RNA, 439 nt
Filed under: uncultured bacterium
Lineage: Bacteria
Description: bacterial SSU rRNA
Rfam family: Bacterial small subunit ribosomal RNA
Source: RNAcentral
GCAUAACGCGAAGAACCUUACCUGGUCUUGACAUAGUAAGAACUUUCCAGAGAUGGAUUGGUGCCUUCGGGAACUUACAUACAGGUGCUGCAUGGCCGUCGUCAGCUCGUGUCGUGAGAUGUUGGGUUAAGUCCCGCAACGAGCGCAACCCUUUUCCUUAUUUGCCAGCGGGUUAAGCCGGGAACUUUAAGGAUACUGCCAGUGACAAACUGGAGGAAGGCGGGGACGACGUCAAGUCAUCAUGGCCCUUACGACCAGGGCUACACACGUGCUACAAUGGUCGGUACAAAGGGUUGCUACCUAGCGAUAGGAUGCUAAUCUCAAAAAGCCGAUCGUAGUCCGGAUUGGAGUCUGCAACUCGACUCCAUGAAGUCGGAAUCGCUAGUAAUCGCGGAUCAGAAUGCCGCGGUGAAUACGUUCCCGGGUCUUGUACACACCG